Molecule: ribosomal RNA, 511 nt
Filed under: uncultured bacterium
Lineage: Bacteria
Description: bacterial SSU rRNA
Rfam family: Bacterial small subunit ribosomal RNA
Source: RNAcentral
ACGAACGCUGGCGGCGUGCUUAACACAUGCAAGUCGAACGAGAGGACAAGAGAAGCUUGCUUCUUUUGGAAUCGAGUGGCAAACGGGUGAGUAACACGUAAACAACCUGCCUUCAGGAUGGGGACAACAGACGGAAACGACUGCUAAUACCGAAUACGCUUGGAAGACCGCAUGAUUUCCAAGGAAAGGGUGGCCUCUACCUGUAAGCUAUCGCCUGAAGAGGGGUUUGCGUCUGAUUAGGCAGUUGGUGAGGUAACGGCCCACCAAACCUACGAUCAGUAGCCGGUCUGAGAGGAUGAACGGCCACACUGGAACUGAGACACGGUCCAGACUCCUACGGGAGGCAGCAGUGGGGAAUCUUCCGCAAUGGACGAAAGUCUGACGGAGCAACGCCGCGUGAGUGAUGACGGCCUUCGGGUUGUAAAGCUCUGUUAAUCGGGACGAAAGGCCUUCUUGCGAAUAGUGAGAAGGAUUGACGGUACCGGAAUAGAAAGCCACGGCUAACUACGUG